This 1471-nucleotide long non-coding RNA is filed under the name Vulpes vulpes (red fox). Its description in RNAcentral is "lncRNA (ENSVVUG00000003381.1)". The record is from RNAcentral. Lineage: Eukaryota; Metazoa; Chordata; Mammalia; Carnivora; Canidae.
AUCAACCAAGAAGGUCACUGGCUGGCCCCCCACUUUAAGGAUUAUCCAAGGCUUGGGGGGCUCCUGGCCCUGAUACCCCUAAUUUUUAUUUUUUAGGGACAGAACGGCAAUGGGCUUCUUCUUGGGUCCCUGCGUUUGGCCCUUCUUUGGACAAUCUUUAACCCAAUGUUCUUUUUCCUUGCAGUAGGCACGCUGGUCUCGUUCAACCUGUGGUUUUCUUUUGUCUCCCAGGUCCUUACUCUGUCCGGACUUACUCUGCCCUGAGCCCUGUACUAUGGUGGCCAGUAUCCCAGUCAGUUCUUUAUUGCGUUUCUUUUAUCUCUUUUAUUCCCUCGUUCCUCUUGCUCUUUACGGAUCCUUUCCUCCCUUUCCUCUGGGGUGUCUUUCUCUCUCUCUCUUUAAGUAUACAUACGGCAGCCCUCUAUUAAUCUUUUCAGAAAACCUGUCGGCGUCUCAUCUUUUCCCUGCACUAUAGCACGUACCUUUGCCAAAUUGGUGGGGCAUCUCCCUGCCCCUCUGAGACCCGCUAGGAGUACCUGGCGAUAGAGACGGAGCCGCUCCCUACCGGCAGCAGUGUCACAGUCCCAGGUCGGGCAAACCAAGGGGAAAACAUCCUCAAUUUUAUUAGGCAGCUGGGUCGGCCUCCCAUCCGCCCCCGGGACGCUUUUCCGUGCUUCGAGGUAGAAGUGCUGUCUCCUCCGUGGUGAGGAGAGUCUGCAGGAGCUGUUGGCAGUCAUCCCAGGUUGGCUGGUGGGUCAACAGAAUUGACUCAAUUAACCCGGUUAGCGCCUGGGGGUCUUGGGAGAAAGUGGGGUUAUGAGUUUUCCAGUUGUAAAGGUCAGAGGCAGAGAACGGCCAGUAUUGCAUCUGGCCGCCUACUGAUUGGAGGGGAAGUGCCCGGGAGGUCCGGACGUCUUCCAACUCCCCGUAGCUCUCUCGUCGAAAGCGGAGGCGGCUGGAGAGCGGGGGUGAAGCGAGGGGUCGCCUCUCUACCCCAGUAGAGUCGGGGGAGGGAGCUGAGGGAGCGGAGGGAGAGGUAGGGCGGGGAAUAAGGGGAGUGGCGCAGGGAGGGGGUGGGGGUCUCGGCCCGGUCCCCCCUGAGAAGGGGUGAAGCAUUUUAUCCAGGGGGGUGGGUUUUUAGCGAGAUCCUCCCAAACUAUGAUGUACGGCACCUGAUCAAGGUGUCCAUUGGGUCCUGGCUGAAAGACCAGGGCCUUCACCUGCAAGAUAACACCAAUGUUAAAAGAUUCAUUCCUGGGCCACCCGACGUUGAAAGCCGGCCACUCUGAGGAGCAGAAGGUGACCCAUUUUCGUCUUCUGACUUCGACCAAAAGGUUGUGUGCCCGGCCGGUGACUUCUUUCCAGUGAUCUAGAGUGAGGCUUAGAGGGGUGGUUACAGUCUGUCCCAUGGGUGUAGAAAAGAGGUGAGCAGUGAGGAAGAGGACAGAGAGAAAGACACAGAACAAACAGA